This 332-nucleotide ribosomal RNA is filed under the name uncultured Streptococcus sp. RNAcentral describes it as "bacterial SSU rRNA". It matches the Rfam family "Bacterial small subunit ribosomal RNA", at positions 1043 to 1382 of the family's 1533-position model. The record is from RNAcentral. Lineage: Bacteria; Bacillati; Bacillota; Bacilli; Lactobacillales; Streptococcaceae.
GCAUGGUUGUCGUCAGCUCGUGUCGUGAGAUGUUGGUUAAGUCCCGCAACGAGCGCAACCCCUAUUGUUAGUUGCCAUCAUUCAGUUGGGCACUCUAGCGAGACUGCCGGUAAUAACCGGAGGAAGUGGGAUGACGUCAAUCAUCAUGCCCUUAUGACCUGGGCUACACACGUGCUACAAUGGUUGGUACAACGAGUUGCGAGUCGGUGACGGCGAGCUAAUCUCUUAAAGCCAAUCUCAGUUCGGAUUGUAGGCUGCAACUCGCCUACAUGAAGUCGGAAUCGCUAGUAAUCGCGGAUCAGCACGCCGCGGUGAAUACGUUCCCGGGCCUU